Stegodyphus mimosarum is the source of this 73-nucleotide non-coding RNA. The record is from Rfam. NCBI's taxonomy places the organism in Eukaryota, Metazoa, Arthropoda, Arachnida, Araneae, Eresidae.
GCCUUGGUGGUGUAGUGGUCUGCAUGCUAGACGCGUAACCGAGAGGUCCGUGGUUCGAUUCCCGGCGAAGGCG